RNAcentral lists this ribosomal RNA (229 nucleotides) under uncultured eukaryote. RNAcentral's name for it is "partial small subunit ribosomal RNA". It matches the Rfam family "Eukaryotic small subunit ribosomal RNA", at positions 1208 to 1456 of the family's 1831-position model. The record is from RNAcentral.
GGAAAACUUACCAGGUCCAGACAUAGGGAGGAUUGACAGAUUGAGAGCUCUUUCUUGAUUCUAUGGGAGGUGGUGCAUGGCCGUUCUUAGUUGGUGGAGUGAUUUGUCUGGUUAAUUCCGUUAACGAACGAGACCCCCGCCUGCUAAAUAGGUCCGUGAAUGAAUUUCAUUGACGAGAUCUUCUUAGAGGGACUUUUGGUGACUAACCAAAGGAAGUUGGGGGCAAUAA